Molecule: ribosomal RNA, 279 nt
Filed under: uncultured bacterium
Lineage: Bacteria
Description: partial 16S ribosomal RNA
Rfam family: Bacterial small subunit ribosomal RNA
Source: RNAcentral
UGCCAGCCGCCGCGGUAAUACGGAGGGAGCGAGCGUUAAUCGGAAUUACUGGGCGUAAAGCGCGUGUAGGCGGCCUGUUAAGUCUGAUGUGAAAGCCCGGGGCUCAACCCCGGAAGUGCAUUGGAUACUGGCAGUCUUGAGUAUGGGAGAGGAAAGUGGAAUUCCGAGUGUAGGAGUGAAAUCCGUAGAUAUUCGGAGGAACACCAGUGGCGAAGGCGGCUUUCUGGACCAAUACUGACGCUGAGAUGCGAAAGCGUGGGGAGCGAACAGGAUUAGAUA